GGGUUGGUAGCUCAGUCGGUAGAGCACCGGACUUUUAAUCCGUUGGUCCUGGGUUCGAAUCCCAGUCAACCCACCA
This 76-nucleotide transfer RNA is filed under the name Pusillimonas sp. T2. Its description in RNAcentral is "tRNA-Lys". It matches the Rfam family "tRNA". Rfam says of the family: Transfer RNA (tRNA) molecules are approximately 80 nucleotides in length. Their secondary structure includes four short double-helical elements and three loops (D, anti-codon, and T loops). RNAcentral also lists the same sequence under 2 other names. Lineage: Bacteria; Pseudomonadati; Pseudomonadota; Betaproteobacteria; Burkholderiales; Alcaligenaceae. The record is from RNAcentral.